This 203-nucleotide long non-coding RNA is filed under the name Mytilus galloprovincialis (Mediterranean mussel). Lineage: Eukaryota; Metazoa; Mollusca; Bivalvia; Mytilida; Mytilidae. The record is from RNAcentral.
CAAAUUUUCAUCAAAAUGUCAGUAUUGGAUCCGUACUGAAUCGUAUGCCCUUAAAUCCUCAUUUAUAUCGACAGGAAAAUGUAAUCAGUAUUGUACAGGCUGAUUUUAUCCGUAUUAUGGCAGAUUUGCUCAUAUGAUUUAAUACUUUGUAUAAAUAGUUUAUAAGCCUAUCUAGGCUGGGUAUUUGUCUAAUUUUAUUAUUG